Molecule: ribosomal RNA, 253 nt
Filed under: uncultured bacterium
Lineage: Bacteria
Description: partial 16S ribosomal RNA
Rfam family: Bacterial small subunit ribosomal RNA
Source: RNAcentral
UACGGAGGGUGCAAGCGUUAGUCGGAAUCACUGGGCGUAAAGGGUGCGUAGGCGGUUAAAUAAGUCAGGUGUGAAAUUCCGAGGCUCAACCUCGGAGCUGCAUCUGAAACUAUAUAACUAGCGGGAUGGCGGAGAAAACGGAAUUCCAUGUGUAGCGGUGAAAUGCGUAGAUAUAUGGAAGAACACCUGUGGCGAAAGCGGUUUUCUAGCCUAACCCGGACGCUGAGGCACGAAAGCAAGGGGAUCAAACAGG